RNAcentral lists this unclassified non-coding RNA (247 nucleotides) under uncultured fungus. RNAcentral's name for it is "sequence contains 5.8S rRNA gene". Lineage: Eukaryota; Fungi. The record is from RNAcentral.
GAACGCACAUUGCGCCCUUCGGUAUUCCGUUGGGCAUGCCUGUUCGAGCGUCAUUUAAACCUUCAAGCUCUGCUUGGUGUUGGGUGUUUGUUCCGCCUGCGCGCGCGGACUCGCCUCAAAUUCAUUGGCAGCCGGUAUGUUGGCUUCGUGCACAGCACAUUGUGUCGCGACUCCAGCCUGCCUCCUUCCAUCAAGCCCCCCUAUUACUUUGGCCUCGGAUCAGGUAGGGAUACCCGCUGAACUUAAG